Molecule: non-coding RNA, 884 nt
Organism: Prunus mume (Japanese apricot)
Lineage: Eukaryota; Viridiplantae; Streptophyta; Magnoliopsida; Rosales; Rosaceae
Source: RefSeq, a predicted model, not a curated record
UAAAUAAUGCUUUAGCAUUAUCUUGUAUGCUUCCUGUAUUUGACUCUUGUCUAAUUUCUGCAUGUUUAUUGUGCGGAAGCAAGUCUACAUUCUGUUACUCUUUUUCAGUGGAGUAGACUAUAUUGAUGCGCCUACGCCAUAAAUGAUUGGUCUCCAUUCAGGCGUUGAUACAUCUACUCUGGCCAUCGAUGGUGAUCAGGUGCCAAAUACACAUAUGAUAGGUCUCCCUCACACAUUAGGACAGAAGAGCAAGAAGAAAAGAGGAGGCAGAUCCUUGCUGCAGCAAGUGGAUUAUCCUCUAGGAAUAUAUACAUGACAAUUUGUUGCAGAUGAAAAUGAAAUCUUGUUCAUGUGAGAUGUAAUCUUUGCAAAGUAAUGUUUGUUUUCCGUUGUUACAUCAGGAAAGGCAAUGCACAAGCUUGUUGGGCACACAAAAUGGAUUUGGUCGAUUAGAAUGGUGGGAGACAGUUAUAACUGGUAGUGAUGAUUUUGGACUGCAAGAAUGUGGUCUAUUUCCUGAAGAACAUGUGAUGGUGUUCUAGCAUGCCAUGCUGGCUCAAUAUUAAGCGUUGAAUAUUCCACACUUGACGAAGGAAUAAUUACAGCCUACCCAAAAUGCGGGUCACUUACUUCGGCUGAGCAGGUCUUUCAUUGGAUAGAGACGAAGACAGUGAGGUCCUGGAGCGCAGUUAUUGGUGGCUAUGCCCAAAAUGGAGAUCCAAAAAAGGCUUUAGAUUUGUACCUUCAAAUGAAAUAUUCAGGCUUGGAUCCUGACUGGUUUAGCAUUGGGAGCCUCCUUUUAGCUUGUGCCCUACCAUAAACAUUUAAGUUCCUUGUGGGUUUGUAUAUUUAAGAUGAAUAUUGAAUGUCGCAAGUCAUUUUUU